Molecule: long non-coding RNA, 972 nt
Organism: Mustela erminea (ermine)
Lineage: Eukaryota; Metazoa; Chordata; Mammalia; Carnivora; Mustelidae
Exons: 3
Source: RefSeq, a predicted model, not a curated record
UGGUCAAUGUUGAACAAUACGGAGAAUUCUAAGGUAAUAAAGUAAUUCCACACAGUAAUGCCCACUGGCAAAGCCCCAAGUAAGAGAUGCUACCAGCUGUGUGGCUGAUGGAUGAGAGCUGUUUCAUGCGUUUCUUCCUAAAUAGUUUCCUUUGAUAUUUAAACAUUUUUAUGCACCUAUCCUUCUACUUCAGAAUACCCAGCCCUUCAUUUUAUUUCAUUGUUGAAGACAUUGAGGCACAGAGAAGGGAAUGGACUUGCUCAUGGGACCAAAUCAAUAAGAAGGUCGCAUUUCCAGUUGCCAUCUAAUACUAAAUUCUGAACUGAAACACAUCAGGUGCUGUGAGAUAAGGACACAUCUCUCUUGCACAGAAGGCAUUUCAGUGUUCAAAGUGCCCUUAGACGCUGUGUCUCAUGCUGCUCUCCCCCUUCUUUGGGGCUAUCAAUAGCUUCGAAGAGGCCUUUCAACUCUUCUGUGGCCUCUCCAGCACAUACCGGAGCGAGGAGGAAAAUGUAUAUGCUUCCUGAAGGUUCUAGAGCAUUUUGAGCCCUGGGGAGUGUGUGGACUGGGAAUGGUGAAAACAGAUGGGAAACUGAAACAAUAAAACAGGAAAAAAUGUUUUGAGGUCAUGAAACGUUGCUGAGGGCGGUAAAUGGACCUCUGAGGACAAGAAGAGAGGCUCUUUGUGAGAAGCAUUCAAAGACGAAGAACAGAAUGGCUGGCAUGACGGCAACAAGAGUGACUGAGACAGAGUUGAGGGUUAAAAAUAUGACCACCUAGGGGGUCUGUUACCAACUGGAAACUUCUCCGUUGACACGAACGUUCUCUUCAUGGAAUGGGUAGCAAAUUGGGCCAAAGUGGUGCAGGAAAGUUCCAGGAAGAGAUUGUCAGCCCCAACCAGGAGCUGAAUGUCCUCCAGCACCUAAAAUAAUUCCCCACAACACUUUCUAAAUGCUUGCUGAAUAAGAGGUG